This 2988-nucleotide ribosomal RNA is filed under the name Triticum aestivum (bread wheat). RNAcentral's name for it is "partial small subunit ribosomal RNA". Lineage: Eukaryota; Viridiplantae; Streptophyta; Magnoliopsida; Poales; Poaceae. The record is from RNAcentral.
AUGGCAGCCAUACUUGAAUCUUUGCUUGGAUCAUGUGCCAGUAAGUUGCAAAAUAUCAUUACAGAUGAGGCCAUACUAAUCCUUGGGGUGGAAGACGAUCUCAGAGAAGUCCUGCGACGAGUAGAACUAAUACAAUGUUGCAUAUAUGAUGCUGAGAAAAGGAGGACAAAAGAGCUAGCAGUAAACAAUUGGCUCGGCCAACUGAGAGAUAUUAUAUAUGAUGUUGAUGAAAUCCUGGACGUGGCUAGGUGUAAAGGAAGCAAGCUACUGCCUGAUGAUCCUUCAUCAUCAUCAAGCCUCUCAGUUUCCUCUUGCUUUUGUAACAUUGGAUCACGUCGUGAUGUUGCUGUUCGGAUUAGAAGCCUCAACAAAAAGAUUGAGAACAUUGCAAAUGACAAGAUAUUCUUCACAUUCAACAAUAGUACACAGCCUCCUGGAAAUGGUCCAACAUCCAGACUGAUAAGAAGUUCCAACCUUGUUGAGCCCAACCUUGUGGGAAAGGAGAUCAUACAUUCCAGCAGGAAGUUGGUGGACUUGGUGCUUGCACACAAGGAAUACAAGUCUUAUAAGCUCGGUAUUGUUGGAACGGGUGGAGUUGGAAAGACAACACUAGCUCAGAAAAUAUACAAUGACCAAAAAAUAAAAGGAAGCUUCAAUCUACAAGCAUGGAUUUGUGUUUCACGAGACUACAAUGAAGUAACUCUUCUGAAAGAGGUUCUCCGGAAUAUUGGUGUGCAUCAUGAGCAAGGUGAAACCAUAGCAGAGCUCCAAAGGAAGCUUGCAGAAACAAUUGAAGGGAAGAGUUUCUUUCUGGUUCUAGAUGAUGUCUGGCAUUCCAAUGUAUGGAUGUAUCUAUUAAGGCCUGUAUUACAUGAAACAACAUCCAGAGUAAUAUUGGUAACCACACGAGAUGAUCAAAUUACAAGGAGAAUAGGUGUAGAGCAUACCCAUCGAGUUGAUCUCAUGUCAAUAGAGGUGGGAUGGGAGCUACUUUGGAAGAGGAUUGAGAUUGUUCGUAAAUGUGGUCACCUCCCUCUUGCAAUAAAGGUUACCGCUAGUGCUUUGGCAAGCAGAGAUCUAACAGAGAAUGAUUGGAAACGGUUUUUGGGGAAAUAUGCUGGCUCCCGGAGCAUCCUCUCUGAUGAAAUAGAAGGAGCUCUGUAUCUAAGCUAUGAUGAGUUGUCGCAUCGUCUGAAACAGUGUUUCCUUUAUUGUGCUUUGUAUGGUGAAGAUUCUAUCAUUCGGCGUGAUCAAGUUACCUGGUUAUGGAUUGCUGAAGGCUUCAUCGAGGAGCAGCAAGGCCAACUACUAGAAGACAUAGCAGAAGAGUACUACUACGAGCUAAUCCAUCGAAAUCUCCUCCAGCCAUGUAAUGAAUUGUUUGGCCAGGUUGAAUGCAGAAUGCAUGACCUCUUGAGACAACUUGCUCUAAAUAUAUCAAAAGAAGAAUGCUUUAUUGGGGAUGUUGAAACAUUAAGGGGUAGAAAUAUGUUGACACUGCGACGUAUUACUGCUGUCACCAAGAAGGAUAAACUAGUGCUACCUAGGAUGGAUAAGUUUGAAGUUACGGUGAGGACUUUCCGAACUGUGAAUGGUCCACGGAGAAUUGAUGAUACAUUUUUCAAGAGAUUUCUGCUUCUUCGUGUUUUGGUACUGAAUUACUCACUUGUACAAAGCAUUCCAUACCAUAUAGGAAAACUGAUACAUCUACGCCUACUUAAUCUAGAUUAUACUGGCAUAUCUUGUCUUCCGGAAUCCAUUGGCUUGCUACAAAACCUUCAAGUACUGAGCUUGACAGGGUGUGUUGAUCUGCAGAGUCUUCCUUCAGCAUUGACCCUGUUGUGCAAUUUAAGAUGUCUUUAUCUUCUUGACACACACAUAUAUCAGGUUCCAAGAGGGAUAGGAAAACUGAAGUGCCUCACCGAAUUACGAGGAUUUUGUGUUGCUGAUGAAAGUGAAAAUGCUAAUGUACAGGAUGGAUGGAAGUUGGAAGAGUUGUCUUCUAUGUUGCAGAUAAGGCGUCUUAUUCUGGUUAAAUUGGAAAGAGCGGCUCAUGGUAGUACAAAUACAUUGUUGAUGAACAAAGCACAUCUAAAAGAACUAGUACUAUCGUGGAGUCCAUGUGGAUUGGGAUCAUAUUCAGAAGAAGUUGUUAGCAAUUCUGAGAAGGUCUUUGAGCUGCUAAUACCUCCAUGCAACCUGGAAGCCCUAUUUAUUUCACGAUUCUUUGGUCGGCGGUAUCCCACUUGGUUUGAAACCACCUGUUUGUAUUCAGUGAUUCACUUGUCCUUAGUGCAUUUACACUCAUGUGUGGAUCUUCCACCGAUUGGGCAGCUACCCAACUUGAAAUUUUUGAGAAUUGACGGAGCAGAUGCAGUUACCAAGGUCGGACCUGAAUUUGUUGGCUGCGGGAAGGGUGCUCCCAUAUGCAAUGAGUUUGUUGCUUUCCCUAAACUUGAAUGGCUAUUUCUCUUAAAUAUGUGCAACUGGGAGGAGUGGUCUUUUCUUGAGCAAGAUGUUUCUGGUGUUGAACGGGGGGAGGAUGGAGCUGCUGACAUUUGUAAAGCAUCCCAAUCUACACGGUUGCAACUAUUAUCCCGUUUGGAGAGCUUGCACGUAGUAGGUUGCCCUAAGCUGAGGGCUUUCCCGCGACAACUUGGAGAGGAUACCACAAGCUUGAAGGAGCUCAAGUUAUUUGGACUAAACAACUUGAAGGCAUUGGAGGACUUCCCACACCUCACUGAGCUCCUUCGUAUUGAGAAAUGCGAUGGCCUGGAGAGGAUCUCCAACCUCCCUCAAGUGACAGGCCUGCAAUUACAUGGCUGUCUGAACUUAAGCCAUGUAAAGGGGUUGGACAGUUUGCAGCAGCUGGGGCUGGGCGAGGAUAUGCAACAAGAGAUCUCUUCAAACUGGGUGCCUGGGCUUCAAGAGCAGCACCAGCGACUUCAUGGUGAAGAUCUGGAUGCCUACACAUGGUCUACCAGUUAG